AGCAGUCGCCGCGGUAAUACAGAGGGUGCGAGCGUUAAUCGGAUUUACUGGGCGUAAAGCGUGCGUAGGCGGCUUCUUAAGUCGGAUGUGAAAUCCCUGAGCUUAACUUAGGAAUUGCAUUCGAUACUGGGAAGCUAGAGUAUGGGAGAGGAUGGUAGAAUUCCAGGUGUAGCGGUGAAAUGCGUAGAGAUCUGGAGGAAUACCGAUGGCGAAGGCAGCCAUCUGGCCUAAUACUGACGCUCAUGCACGAAAGCGUGGGGAGCAAACAGGAUUAGAUACCCGCGUAGUCCCUGUCUCUUAUAC
This 303-nucleotide ribosomal RNA is filed under the name uncultured bacterium. RNAcentral describes it as "partial 16S ribosomal RNA". It matches the Rfam family "Bacterial small subunit ribosomal RNA", at positions 507 to 807 of the family's 1533-position model. The record is from RNAcentral.